This 785-nucleotide ribosomal RNA is filed under the name uncultured Shigella sp. Its description in RNAcentral is "bacterial SSU rRNA". It matches the Rfam family "Bacterial small subunit ribosomal RNA", at positions 719 to 1502 of the family's 1533-position model. Lineage: Bacteria; Pseudomonadati; Pseudomonadota; Gammaproteobacteria; Enterobacterales; Enterobacteriaceae. The record is from RNAcentral.
AGGCGGGCCCCUGGACGAAGACUGACGCNUCAGGUGCGAAAAGCGUGGGGAGUAAACUUUAAAAGAUACCCUGGUAGUCCACGCCGUNAACGAUGUCGACUUGGAGGUUGUGCCCUUGAGGCGUGGCUUCCGGAGCUAACGCGUUAAGUCGACCGCCUGGGGAGUACGGCCGCAAGGUUAAAACUCAAAUGAAUUGACGGGGGCCCGCACAAGCGGUGGAGCAUGUGGUUUAAUUCGAUGCAACGCGAAGAACCUUACCUGGUCUUGACAUCCACGGAAGUUUUCAGAGAUGAGAAUGUGCCUUCGGGAACCGUGAGACAGGUGCUGCAUGGCUGUCGUCAGCUCGUGUUGUGAAAUGUUGGGUUAAGUCCCGCAACGAGCGCAACCCUUAUCCUUUGUUGCCAGCGGUCCGGCCGGGAACUCAAAGGAGACUGCCAGUGAUAAACUGGAGGAAGGUGGGGAUGACGUCAAGUCAUCAUGGCCCUUACGACCAGGGCUACACACGUGCUACAAUGGCGCAUACAGAGAGAAGCGACCUCGCGAGAGCAAGCGGACCUCAUAAAGUGCGUCGUAGUCCGGAUUGGAGUCUGCAACUCGACUCCAUGAAGUCGGAAUCGCUAGUAAUCGUGGAUCAGAAUGCCACGGUGAAUACGUUCCCGGGCCUUGUACACACCGCCCGUCACACCAUGGGAGUGGGUUGCAAAAGAAGUAGGUAGCUUAACCUUCGGGAGGGCGCUUACCACUUUGUGAUUCAUGACUGGGGUGAAGUCGUAACAAGGUAACCA